UGGCUCAGGAUGAACGCUGGCGGCGUGCCUAAUACAUGCAAGUCGAGCGAACGGAUAAGGAGCUUGCUCCUUUGAAGUUAGCGGCGGACGGGUGAGUAACACGUGGGUAACCUACCUAUAAGACUGGAAUAACUUCGGGAAACCGGAGCUAAUGCCGGAUAACAUAUAGAACCGCAUGGUUCUAUAGUGAAAGAUGGUUUUGCUAUCACUUAUAGAUGGACCCGCGCCGUAUUAGCUAGUUGGUAAGGUAAUGGCUUACCAAGGCGACGAUACGUAGCCGACCUGAGAGGGUGAUCGGCCACACUGGAACUGAGACACGGUCCAGACUCCUACGGGAGGCAGCAGUAGGGAAUCUUCCGCAAU
Molecule: ribosomal RNA, 363 nt
Filed under: low G+C Gram-positive bacterium R2A180
Lineage: Bacteria; Bacillati; Bacillota
Description: bacterial SSU rRNA
Rfam family: Bacterial small subunit ribosomal RNA
Source: RNAcentral